This 69-nucleotide transfer RNA is filed under the name Marmota monax (woodchuck). It matches the Rfam family "tRNA". Rfam says of the family: Transfer RNA (tRNA) molecules are approximately 80 nucleotides in length. Their secondary structure includes four short double-helical elements and three loops (D, anti-codon, and T loops). Further hydrogen bonds mediate the characteristic L-shaped molecular structure. tRNAs have two regions of fundamental functional importance: the anti-codon, which is responsible for specific mRNA codon recognition, and the 3' end, to which the tRNAs corresponding amino acid is attached (by aminoacyl-tRNA synthetases). tRNAs cope with the degeneracy of the genetic code in two manners: having more than one tRNA (with a specific anti-codon) for a particular amino acid; and 'wobble' base-pairing, i.e. permitting non-standard base-pairing at the 3rd anti-codon position. The record is from Rfam by way of RNAcentral. Lineage: Eukaryota; Metazoa; Chordata; Mammalia; Rodentia; Sciuridae.
GGAGUUGUGGCUUAGCGGUAGAGCACUCACCUAGCAUGUGCAAGACCCUGGGUUCAAUCCCCAGCACCA